AUUGACCUCGGAUCAGGUAGGGAUACCCGCUGAACUUAAGCAUAUCAAUAAGCGGAGGAAAAGAAACCAACAGGGAUUGCCCUAGUAACGGCGAGUGAAGCGGCAACAGCUCAAAUUUGAAAUCUGGCUCCUUUGGGGUCCGAGUUGUAAUUUGUAGAGGGUGCUUUGGCGUUGGCUGUGGUCUAAGUUCCUUGGAACAGGACGUCACAGAGGGUGAGAAUCCCGUACGUGGCCGCCAGCCUCCGCCGUGUAAAGCCCCUUCGAUGAGUCGAGUUGUUUGGGAAUGCAGCUCUAAAUGGGAGGUAAAUUUCUUCUAAAGCUAAAUAUUUGCCAGAGACCGAUAGCGCACAAGUAGAGUGAUCGAAAGAUGAAAAGCACUUUGGAAAGAGAGUCAAAAAGCACGUGAAAUUGUUGAAAGGGAAGCGCUUGCAGCUAGACGUGCCUUGGGUUGAUCAGCCGGACUUUUGCCCGGUGCACUCUUCCUUUGGCAGGCCAGCAUCAGUUUGGGCGGCUGGAUAAAGGUCUGUUAAACGUGACUUCCUUCGGGGAGAGCUUAUAGGGCAGACGACAUGCAGCCAGCCUGAACUGAGGUCCGCGCAUCUGCUAGGAUGCUGGCGUAAUAGCUGUAAGCGGCCCGUCUUGAAACACGGACCAAGGAGUCUAACAUCUAUGCGAGUGUUUGGGUGUCAAGCCCGAGCGCGUAAUGAAAGUAAACGGAGGUGGGAACCCUUUGGGUGCACCAUCGACCGAUCCUGAUGUCUUCGGAUGGAUUUGAGUAAGAGCAUAGCUGUUGGGACCCGAAAGAUGGUGAACUAUGCCUGAAUAGGGUGAAGCCAGAGGAAACUCUGGUGGAGGCUCGCAGCGGUUCUGACGUGCAAAUCGAUCGUCAAAUUUGGGCAUAGGGGCGAAAGACUAAUCGAACUAUCUAGUAGCUGGUUCCUGCCGAAGUUUCCCUCAGGAA
Molecule: ribosomal RNA, 961 nt
Filed under: Lophiostoma pseudomacrostomum
Lineage: Eukaryota; Fungi; Ascomycota; Dothideomycetes; Pleosporales; Lophiostomataceae
Description: partial large subunit ribosomal RNA
Rfam family: Eukaryotic large subunit ribosomal RNA
Source: RNAcentral